This 225-nucleotide ribosomal RNA is filed under the name uncultured bacterium. RNAcentral describes it as "partial 16S ribosomal RNA". It matches the Rfam family "Bacterial small subunit ribosomal RNA", at positions 524 to 747 of the family's 1533-position model. The record is from RNAcentral.
GACAGAGGGUGCAAACGUUGUUCGGAAUUACUGGGCGUAAAGCGCGUGUAGGCUGCUUCGAAAGUCGGAUGUGAAAGCCCUGGGCUCAACCUAGGAAGUGCAUUCGAAACUUCAAAGCUGGAGUCCUGGAGAGGAAGGCGGAAUUCUCGGUGUAGAGGUGAAAUUCGUAGAUAUCGAGAGGAACACCGGUGGCGAAGGCGGCCUUCUGGACAGUGACGUGACGCA